UUUUUAUAGGCCAAAAUUCGGAACUAUUGAUUUGAUGACUAAUUGUUGAGUGGGUGGCCACCUCUUGACUUGGUAACUAUCCUUAUCUUCUUGUCUGCAGAAAACGUCAUUGCUCACAUCAGCAUUUGAGUAGAUAGUCUUCAUGAAAGUUUUGGGAAAUUGUCUCAGUUUUCCAACAAAAUAAGAAUCGGUGCAUUUGGACUUCUAGAACUCGAGAUAUGGGUUGAACACUGAAUAGUGUCUGGGAUGUAGGACAGAUUCUGACUUCUCUAUUGUUGCUAUAAUUUGAACUUGAAAACGGUCCUUUUGAAUCUUGGACUCUUCAUGAAAGUUUUAGGCCUAUGUAUUAGCUUUCCAUACAUAUAAAUCAAACCUAAAUCCAAGUUCUACAGCUGCAGUUAUGAUCCAAUAACCGAAUGGUGUUCCAGUUUGGACUGAACCAACAUGUCUUUUCUAAGCUUAGCCCUUUCUUUGUCU
This 477-nucleotide long non-coding RNA is filed under the name Populus trichocarpa (black cottonwood). Its description in RNAcentral is "long non-coding RNA (PTRI_LNC000803)". The stretch from base 204 to 359 matches the Rfam family "MIR2912 microRNA precursor family". Lineage: Eukaryota; Viridiplantae; Streptophyta; Magnoliopsida; Malpighiales; Salicaceae. The record is from RNAcentral.